AUUGAACGCUGGCGGCAGGCCUAACACAUGCAAGUCGAGCGGAGCGGCGGAAGGGUGAGUAAUGCCUAGGAAUCUGCAUGGUAGUGGGGGAUAACGUCCGGAAACGGGCGCUAAUACCGCAUACUAUCAGACGAGCCUAGGUCGGAAUAGCGAGUUGGUGGGGGAAAGGCCUACCAAGGCGACGAUCAGUAACUGGUCGGAGAGGAUGAUCAGUCACACUGGACCGGAGACACGGUCCAGACUCCUACGGGAGGCAGCAGUGGGGAAGAUUGGACAAUGGGCGAAAGCCUGAUCCAGCCAUGCCGCGUGUGUGAAGAAGGUCUUCGGAUUGUAAAGCCCUUUAAGUUGGGAGGCGUUACCAACAGAAUAAGCACCGGCUAACUACGUGCCAGCAGCCGCGGUAAUAC
This 407-nucleotide ribosomal RNA is filed under the name uncultured bacterium. RNAcentral's name for it is "partial 16S ribosomal RNA". It matches the Rfam family "Bacterial small subunit ribosomal RNA", at positions 29 to 526 of the family's 1533-position model. The record is from RNAcentral.